UAACAAAAAGAUUAUAAUCGGCUAAUAUACACUCGCACCAUAUGUCAACCCUUUGUGACAAUACGUGCUGUGUCUUACAUAUUACAGAUCAACAUGGACAUCCAUUAACACAGACAUAUGCUAUAGAGAUCGCAGAGAGAUGCUAGGAUUUUGGCCAGCCACAUUAUGGAAGGAAAACUGGCAACCUUAAAAGCUUUCACCUUAACCACUGCUGAAAUAUUUU
Molecule: unclassified non-coding RNA, 223 nt
Filed under: Hevea brasiliensis (rubber tree)
Lineage: Eukaryota; Viridiplantae; Streptophyta; Magnoliopsida; Malpighiales; Euphorbiaceae
Source: RNAcentral